RNAcentral lists this long non-coding RNA (942 nucleotides) under Cricetulus griseus (Chinese hamster). RNAcentral describes it as "lncRNA (ENSCGRG00015036294.1)". The record is from RNAcentral. Lineage: Eukaryota; Metazoa; Chordata; Mammalia; Rodentia; Cricetidae.
GUGCGUACAAAAGAGAAUUUCAAAGUGUCAGCCGCAGGGCCGAUUAGGCCGGGAUGGGAGUGGGUAUCCUGUGUAAUUUAGAAUAGCUUCCAGGGAAUCCUAAAAGGCCUCUUCUCAUCGAAGGCUGAAGAGCUAACUCCCUUAGACAAGCUUCAGCAUGUUUGCCAACCUUGGAAUUAAAAUUUUGGACUCCUUUUCUUUGGCAACACUUAUUGCAGCUGGCCACAAUGACACACACCUUUAAUCCCAGCACUCAGGAGGCAGAGGUUGUCUGAUCUCUGAGUUUGAGGCCAGCCUGGUUUACAGAAGAGCGAGUUCCAGGACAGCCAGGGCUACACAGAGAAACCCUGGCUCAAAAAAAAAAAAAAAAAAUCCCGUGUAUGUUUGAGCACUGCAUGGCUUUGUGGUCACCACAUGCACACAGGCACAUCACAGGUCACACAGCGUCAAGUCCCCUGGAACUGGAGGAGUUACAGACAGCUGUGGAGACUGAGCUGGGGUCCUCCGCAAGAGCAGUGAGUAGGCUUCCUCACCCGGCCAUCCCCCUAGACCCCUGUAACUGUUUCUUCUUGCAAUCUGACCAAUUUUCCUGCUCAUUUCUACAUGUAAAACAAAGAAAGCAAAACUGGAAAAAACACAUGUAUAGAAAGCCCCAGAGUGGCCCGGUGUUGGUGACGCACGCCUUUAAUCCCAGCACUCGGGAGGCGGAUCUCUGUGAGUUCGAGACCAGCCUGGUCUACAAGAGCUAGUUCCAGGACAGCCUCCAAAGCUACAGAGAGAAACCCUGUCUCGAAAAAACAAAAACAAAAACAAAAACAAAACAAAGAGAAAGCCCCAGAGCAGAUCAGUCUACGAAAUCAGCUUCCUGAUGAAUGAGGAGAUGAGACACUGUGGGGUCACAUAGGAAAACACAUUUUCACUAUUAUUUCUACAUGAAAUUAC